Molecule: ribosomal RNA, 465 nt
Filed under: uncultured bacterium
Lineage: Bacteria
Description: partial 16S ribosomal RNA
Rfam family: Bacterial small subunit ribosomal RNA
Source: RNAcentral
GACGAACGCUGGCGGCGUGCUUAACACAUGCAAGUCGAACGGAAAGGCCCUGCUUGCUGGGUACUCGAGUGGCGAACGGGUGAGUAACACGUGGGUGAUUUGCCCUGCACGUCGGGAUAAGCCUGGGAAACUGGGUCUAAUACCGGAUAGGAGCCAUUUUGAGUGUGAUGGUUGGAAAGUUUUUUCGGUGUAGGAUGAGCUCGCGGCCUAUCAGCUUGUUGGUGGGGUAAUGGCCUACCAAGGCGGCGACGGGUAGCCGGACUGAGAGGGUGGACGGCCAUCCUGAGUCUUACGGGCGGCCCAGGCUGCGACGAGUGGCAGCUGUGGGGAAGAUUGCUCAAUCGGCGCCAGGCUGGUGAAGAGACGCCUCGGAGGGGAUAACGGUCUUCGGGUUGAAAACUCCUUUCGCGAGGGACGAUGCUUUUUGUGACGGUACCUAGAUAAGAAGCACCGGCUAACUACGUG